This 64-nucleotide transfer RNA is filed under the name Candidatus Enterousia avicola. It matches the Rfam family "tRNA". Rfam says of the family: Transfer RNA (tRNA) molecules are approximately 80 nucleotides in length. Their secondary structure includes four short double-helical elements and three loops (D, anti-codon, and T loops). Lineage: Bacteria; Pseudomonadati; Pseudomonadota; Alphaproteobacteria. RNAcentral also lists the same sequence under 5 other names. The record is from RNAcentral.
GGCAUAGUUUAACGGUAGAACUCCGGACUCUGACUCCGUCAGUGUUGGUUCGAAUCCAGCUGCC